Firmicutes bacterium CAG:555 is the source of this 203-nucleotide non-coding RNA. It matches the Rfam family "6S / SsrS RNA". From Rfam's summary of the family: E. coli 6S RNA was the first non coding RNA to be sequenced, but its function was unknown until recently. It consists of 184 nucleotides that fold into an extended hairpin structure with a large single-stranded internal bulge. The record is from Rfam. Lineage: Bacteria; Bacillati; Bacillota.
GAACUCCUGCUUUGUGCGCGGUGUCAUAAUUGACAUUGGCCCAAUAAACCCACAUCUCUAAUAAGGGAUGCCGAUUUGAAUCUGCGGAUUGCAGGCCUCCCGGCCUUGUGUCGGAAGUUGGAAGCAGCGAAACAGAACUUAGGCGACCCACCUGCUUAUUUGUGCAGGUUACCAUUGGGCCCAACGGCAAAAGCGGGAUAGCC